RNAcentral lists this ribosomal RNA (406 nucleotides) under uncultured bacterium. RNAcentral's name for it is "partial 16S ribosomal RNA". It matches the Rfam family "Bacterial small subunit ribosomal RNA", at positions 29 to 526 of the family's 1533-position model. The record is from RNAcentral.
AUUGAACGCUGGCGGCAGGCCUAACACAUGCAAGUCGAACGAGUGGCGGACGGGUGAGUAAUGUCUGGGAAACUGCCCGAUGGAGGGGGAUAACUACUGGAAACGGUAGCUAAUACCGCAUACCAUCGGAUGUGCCCAGAUGGGAUUAGCUAGUAGGUGGGGUAACGGCUCACCUAGGCGACGAUCCCUAGCUGGUCUGAGAGGAUGACCGGCCCCACUGGAACUGGGACACGGUCCAGACUCCAACUGGGGGAAGCGGGGGGGAAUAUUGCACAAUGGGCGCAAGCCUGAUGCAGCGAUGCCGCUGGUAUGAAGAAGGCCUGCGGGUUGUAAAGUACUUUCAGCGAGGGGGCGUUACUCGCAGAAGAAGCACCGGCUAACUCCGUGCCAGCAGCCGCGGUAAUAC